GGACGCGUUGUGUCGAAUAAAUAUUGGUUCAAUAAUAUCUCAGAUACCGGAGCUUGUGAGUUCAUUACAGACUUAAUUACAAAGUAACAAGCCGAGAUGGUCCAUGGAGCAACUGCCAGUCCCAGACUCAGAGACCUCUGUAUAUACAGCUUCAGUCUGGCAUAACAUACAUAGUCACUCCUCUUUAUCUAAAUGAUCCACACCGUUUAGUAUUCAGACCUUUUGCACAAUGUAGCAACGCCCACUUCCGCUCAACUUCCUACCACCCGAUAUAUAGCUUCCUCUCCCGAUCGCGUCCUGUCAGCCUGUUUGUAGCCAUACUAGCCUCGUUUUAUCUUUAUCUCAGUAUAUUAAUAUAAUCAUAUUUCUAUAGUGUUUUUUAAUCAUUCUUGUUGAAAAUUCUGCUUAUCCGUUCAGUUAGUGAUUUUUGUAAUUCGAUUAUUGUGUCAAGGCGCUUGCAAGAGCUGCCAAAGAUAACAGUGACGGAUGUACAUCGUCUGGCCAAGACAAGUAGCAAAGCACCGACCUCCAAGUUGGAAAAAGGAUUCAAACUUUGUAUUCAGUUACCUUUUCAACUAUGAAGGUAACUUAAGUAUAGCCAAGUUGCCUAUCAGACCAGACAAGGACGUUUACUGAAAGCUGUAACGUAGUUUAAGACAUGCCUUUUACAGUAGAUAGCUAACAUUAUGAUUGCUCAUUAUUUUUAUUCCAAACCGUUUCGAACAGGGACAAAGUGACGAGAGGUCAGCGUAAGGGCUUGCUGCUACAGGUCCAUGAGGAAAAAUGAGAAACCACACAGUUUGAGUAUAGUGUGAAAAGUCAGCUGUUUGUGACACACUAUAUGCCGGUUACACAGUCAGAGAUGAAGCCUAGUCUUAGACUAAGAAGUUUCUGUCAAUGGAGAUCUGCAUUAAGAGGCAUUGCUUUGUCUAGGACUAGGCUUAACCCAUGUCUAUGAAACCGUUCUUAGUGUAGUAAUUGUUCAGUUGUCUUUGUCGUUGAAAUAUUCAGUCAAUAAUAUUUCUCAAAUAUCGGAGCCUGUGAGUUAAAAUAGACUUUAUUACAAAGUAAUAAAAGCCGAGCUGGUUCAUGAAGAAACUGCCUUCCCAGCCUUGGCACACACUUGUUAUACAGUUUUCAUCCUUACGUCACACACAUAGUAACUCCUCUUUAUGUUAAUGAUUCAUCCACUCUGGCAUGUAGCCACCAUUAUCUUUUUGCCUUGCACUAAUUUUAGCUUGACUUCACAUUAGGGCAUAGAUUCCAUUGCUGGUGUAACCAUAGCAACAGUAAAUAUUAGGCCAUAACAAUAGUACAAAAAUAAACAGACAUGCAGACUCCCAAGACAGGUGCAUGUCUAAUGGUGCCUAAUGACCUAGACACACAUAUAGAGUGCACUUAUUCUGCUUACUACUCUAAGAUGUCACACAUGGACUGGAAAGUUUCCAAUAUCUUCCUUGCUGUUGAUGUAAGCUCUGUUAUGUUGGACGCAUAAGAUCAAAUUUAAACAAGGGCAUAUACCCUUAAUAGAAAAGUUUAAACCUGUAUUGCUGUAAUUAAUUUAGUGGCUGUUGCAUGUUGCGCCAGUCACUUCUGUUUGCUGGUCGUGACUCAUGUUGAGGGAUUUUAUAGUCUAAUCAUUUUCUUUUUAUAUCCCCACAUAUGUUGUACUGAAGCCCUCUGAGCCAGUAACAAUGACACAACAUCACUGUUCAUGUGUUGCUGGCACUGCAUUAUGCAACCACACAGUUGCAUUACUAUUCCAGUCUGCACACUAUUCCCAAAUGGGAACACUAGUCGUCCCACCUGUGCACAGCUGCACAGAGGCCGAGCAGCAGUGGUAUAAGCCAAGGACUAUGGUGUCUCCGGAAGGUGGUGAUUGACUCCGCUGUCCUGGCGUCGUGAGGGAGCUUGUUCCACCAUUGGGGUGCCAGAGCAGCGAACAGUUUUGACUGGGCUGAGCGGGAACUGUGCUUCCUCAGAGGGUCUGCAACCUGGGCCCAUAGACAAAAUGACCAUCACCGAGCCCACCAAAAAUCGCAUGGCAGAAGGAGGGAUUAGGUGGUUUCAAGUACAUUGUUUAGAUUGGGAAACCACAGCGGCUGCUUUGCAGAAGUACACUCUACAGUGCCCUUCUUGGAACGCUCCCUGACCUCUCAGUUCUCCAGAUAGAAGAGGCAUACAAAAGCUUUGACCCUCUAUCCAAGCCAUUGAUCUGCAGCAUGGGGAUGUCUGCUGAAAAGCUUUUAGUCGACUCCCACUUUGGAAAGGUACAGGUGGGGAGCCUUCUGUCUUACCAGCAGCCUCCAAUCACAACGUGACACAUAGUUCACCAUAAGGAGACACCACCAUUCCCUUCACUGCCCGGAGAGCAACUUUCAAGGCUGCACAUUUAUGCUCAGUGAAGAACACCAGCUUCACAUAGUCUCUUCAGCCAGCCAGCCAGCCAGCCAGGUAGAAAAAUGGCAGAAAAAUAAAAGACGGACAUCAGAGUAUUUUUCAAUACACCAAAGCAGAGCAGGCAACAGAUGGCACACAGAGAGCAGAGUUGGGGACAGAUAUACAGGGACAGACUGGCAGAGACAGGGAGUCUCAGAGACAUAUUGAGCAACCAAGUGAUACCAAUCACGACCACACCCAGAGGACAGAUGGCAGACUUAAGAACUCACACAAAAAUGUCAAGACAUGAAGGCGCCCUAGCCACACGAACUGACCACUGGUGUAAAGAACAACAUUCCAUGAAUAUCGCAAGCACCCAGACACGAAUUACCAGAAAUACACACACACACACACACACACUUAGGUGUGUUGGACUCCGAGGACAAAGGACACUGCCAAGGGCCAAUGGGAAGUUGACACCACCUGGAGAAUGGACCGUCCACCGUCCACUCAUCGACCAGUCAGGAGAGAGGACCUACUAGACUCAACGUCAACACACUGUUAUUUCAUUGUAUAAAUUGGAUGUACACUAUGUUUCGGGGCUCUCUCUUCUGCUAGUUCCCUAAGAGCUAAACGAACGAGCCUGUGCACGCUCAGCCAAAUAUCUUUGUCUCAUAAUAAACUGCCUUACUAUAUACUGAAUCCACCUGGUCCAUCGUCUUGACUUGGUUUCCUUCUCAAAUAACUAAUCAUCAACAAAAUUGGUAGCAGAGGAUGGUUUCAUACUUCUGAAAUUCGGUCCAUUUAGUGGUUGAUGUGAGAGGAGAGAAGUUUGGGACAAUUUCGCAAGGACGGGUGACCUGUUCGCAGGAGACAUCGGCGAUUCUGCCCGCCCCAGGAAACUGAUCAACGAGCUCGACUAUAUAAGGUAAGCAGAGCCUGUUAAAACAAAAUCUGCAUAUUGUAAUAUAGUUUUAUUCAAAUUCUGAUCAGUAGUACUGGGAGUGAGUAUGAAUUGUUGUCUAAAUUGUAAUAAAUGUAAUUAAAAUGUUAAGGCCGAACACAAAGAUAUUUGACUGAAUAGAUUUUAAGUUAUUUAAGAGCCUGUGUGCCGUCCUGUGUGGACCCGUCCUGUGUGGACCCGUCCUGUGUGGACCCGUCCUGUGUGGACCCGGCCUGUGUGGGCCCAUCAUUGAUAGAAUAUAUCUGUUGACUUGGGGGACGACUGACGUGGCAACCAGUUGAGUCCACCCAUAUUAUUCAGAUCAAUUAAAAGUAGAUAAAGAGUCUGUGUGACAUACUUUUGAUAGCAUAAUCAUUUGUGACAUUGGAGGACGGCUGGAGUGGCAACCUGCCGGGACCACCAAUGAAAAGUCGGAUGAAUUUAAAAAUAAAAUAAUAUUGUUAUAACUGUUUAGCUAUGUCCCGGAUGUCAGCGAACUAUUCUCUGCCCGGUAGAUUGUAUAGGUGACACAAUUUGUUAUAUUGUAUUUGUGAUAUCUGAUGGAACUUUAUCUUAAGGGUCCAAUAAUUAUUCUCUGUCUGGUAAAUGGGUGCGAAAUAAGGGUUUGUUCCAUGAGACAUAAACAACUAAGUCGAUAACCGAUUAGGACUGAAACAAUUCUGAAAUAAAGUAGAGGGGCCGCCGUGCUGUCGGGAUUGGGGUGUAUUAGACAAACCAUUUGGCAAUUAUUAACACUUUGUUUACGAGGGUGAGGCACCAGAGUUAAGUCGGUGUCCGCACCGAGAAUACAUCGCUGGUCCCAACCAGCGACGGGCUAAGUUUACAAAGCUAGAGGGACUAAAUUGUAAAACAUAAUGGCAAUAAGCCAACCAAUUAAACUUAAAUUUUGUGAAUUUUUGGAUAAAAAAAUACAGGAUAGAGCAGGAGGUAAGGAACAAUAUAAGGCAAUACGGAAAGUGUGGGAGGAAGUAAAGUUGAGAUGGACACAGGCAGGAUACUUUAGCGGGGGGGCUCCGACUAAAGGCCAAUUGAUGGAGAUGGAGGCAGGUUUAAAGGAGGGAGUUAAAAAAAGCACAGAAAAUGAAAAGGAAAGAAAUAAAACGUAUAUGUUUAAAAAAGAAGGAACCAAGAACAGAGAGAAGGCGGAGGCAGAGUUGAGAAUAGGGACCUGGGCGAUAGAGGAGACUAGAAGGGCACUCCCUUAUAAAAAACCAGACAUGAUGGGGAUUGUGACUUCUACAGAGACCGACUCAAACACAGGACCAAAACAAGAUGGAGAGACCCCCCUGCCGACGACCCGGUUAUAUCCGGAACUACCAACCGAACCACCACCCUACACUCAAGGGCCCACAGUGGGGGGGAAGUCGUUGAACCCUUUCAGAACGGGACCAUUCACCCCGCCACCUGCUGUACAGGCUCCGGUAUUCGCCGUAAAGGGUGGAGAAUUAAUGGGGUCCGUCACAAUGGGUGUAAAGGGUGGACACUUGGUCUGCGAGGAAGUUGAAGAAGAAGGAGAGGGAAGUGAAGGAACCUCCUCCCUCAUGACCAUGCCGGGAGGAAAAUACAGCUCAACCCCAAGACCGUUCACUCCUGACUUCAACCCACAACACUAUGUGAGAUGUGGGUUCACUUCCCCAAAGACUAGUUUGGUAUCCCGUAACUCGCACGACAAUCUACCAAGCGAGAAUGAAGAAGGAGGAACGAGUCACACCCCCAGAGACAUGGAGAUCGACAACCUACGAAGGGAGGUGAAUGAGUCACUAGCCCUGGCGAAAUCCCUGAUUGAAAAAUCUGAAAAGGAAGGAGGAACUUUCCAUGUGGAGGGGGUGAUGACUGGAAAGAUAACGGACCUGGUUGACCCGGUCAGAAAGUCAGUCCGUCUGGAGAACCUAAGGGCUCAGGGAGUGACUUCAAGGACAGACUGGGAUCAGAACGGGGGUUAUAGCUCCGCCAUGCAGCUACCACUCAGGCCCACAACAGACCCCCGAUUCGAAGAGUACCAGCCAUGGAAAAUGACAGAUCUCACCACCCUGAUGGAACAACUGCCUAGCCUUCAUGGAGGGGCUUCUGCGUGGCUACUCCAGCUCCAGACACUUACCUCUGGUCUGCGCCUGUGCCUGGGAGACAUGAAGGCUCUACUGGCCAGGGCAACAGACCAUGUGACCAUGUCCUCAUUGGUAAAGGAAGCAGAUCUGGACAAAGCCCCUCCCACGGCACCACUGGAGGACAUUCGUCAGGCACUAUGGGGUGUGUUGCGUCGGGCAUAUCCAACUGAGAAGAACCAUGCAACCCUGUCCUCUUUUACCAUCACUCCGGGGGAACAACCUGCGGCUUACUUGGACAGGGCAAAAACAACAUGGAGGACUGUGCAUGAGGAACCAUAUGACCACACUGAAACCACGCUCAGCAUGUGGAAAGAGAUGGUGGUGAAUGGGUGCCCUGGAGAAGUGAAAGUGAAACUCAGGAACACUGUGGGACUGAUGGCACUUCCCCUGCCACAGUUCAACUCUCACACUCACCACCACCUCACCCAAUACUACAAAGACAAGGGGGGCGCGGACACUCAAGUCCAGUCCCUUCAAGUACAACUACUGAAAUUGCAAUUGAAAGAAGCCCAGAAGGGUGAUAAAAAAAAACAGAUGAUGGAAAAACCAGAAGAUUUGUCUCAGGUCAUCGAGAAAACCGUAACACAGAUGAUGCAGCAACAGCAGACUCAGCCGACUCCCGUCGCCGAGGGGGUCCCUCAAGUGAUGCAGCCCAUGCCCCAACCCAUGCCUAUGGCAGCCCCAGGGAUCUACCCACCACCACAGCUGGGUUAUCCAACACCAUGGAUGACUCAGCCGGCCUAUCCAACACAGUGGCGAGGGGGUCAAUGGAGGGGGGGAGGUAUGCAAUGCUACAAUUGCAGACAACAUGGGCAUAUGGCUCGAAACUGCCCGCAGGCACUGACCCAAUCUACUCAACAAUGGCUGGCUAACAGAGGAAGCUCUCAGUUCAUGGGUAGGGGAAGAGGUGGGCCCCGCCCACAACGUUACCCUGGACCACAGCCUCAUCCUGCAUAUAAUCACGCCAACCCGGAUCCCGGUCAACAAUCGUCCAGCUUCCAGGGUAUGGCUGAUGAAUACGCACCAUGGCCAUGAAGAUGCCCACCACCACCUGACGGGGGAGGACGGGAGCUCUUUCCACUCCACACUGAACCCACUGUUCUGUGUGAAGUUGAGGGAGUAACCCAUCAAUUUCUAGUUGACACUGGCUGUACAUACUCCGCAAUCCGAUCCCGUCAACAACUAUCUUCGGAAUUCAUUCAGGUGGUGGGGGUGACUGGUAACCCCGAAGCUCAAAAGAAAACAGUUCCCUUAACCUUCUCGUGGGGAAGUAUGAUGCAUACUCAUCAGUUCUUGUACUGCCCUAACUGUCCAAUCAAUCUGUUGGGAAGGGACCUCUUGUGCAAACUACAAUGCUCCAUAUAUCUUACACACAAUGGGGUAGAAGUCACCACGGGCCCCGUUCCCUCCACCAUGGCCAAACCGGUUAAAGUCCUCAUGCUUCCAAUUUUACCAGCCCCUGUCCUGUCGGCUACACAAGAAAUCUAUUGGCUUAAGUGUGUCCAGACAGGAAUAGGGACCCCACGCAUCCAGUUCCAAUUUAAUCAGCUGAAACCAAGAAUCUACACGCUACAUCCAUACAAGACACCACUGGCAGAGGUACACUGUACCCUGAACGUCACAGAAAAUGACGACAACCCAUACACAGAUGACUGGGAUGAAAACAUGAUGCCCCUCACGCCUACCAUUAGGUGCUGCACCAUUGUUUGUGGACAAGAGGGGGUAGCAGCCCCAGUCAUAUUACAACCUCACCUGAAGUCCUGGUAUCUGUUGGGAGCAGAGUCCGCACCACACGUCACACUUGCUGUCGGAAACGGCUUUGAGGCCCGAAGUCUGGGUCCAAUGAUAAGACGUGCAUCCAAACUUCAGUGGGAACCUACAUCUACUCCGGGCAUAAAUAAGACUACAACCGAGAACGUGGGGAAUCUGCAAGCCUGAACGCCUCACCCUACCAAGACACCAUGGUAAACCCUACACAGAUCACCCAUCAACUGCGGCACUGCUCUCAACAGUAGACGAAAAGAUUUGGACAACCUCCCCAUUUGACGUCGGACAACUCCAGGUGGAGCCAGUUACCAUCACUCUGCAGGACCCAGGACAGCAGCCUGUUUUCCGGACUCAGUACCGUUUGAAGCCCGAACAGAUCACCGGGAUCAAACCAACUAUUGAAGGACUGCUAGGUGCAAGAGUAAUCUACGCAACC
Molecule: long non-coding RNA, 7651 nt
Filed under: Salmo salar (Atlantic salmon)
Lineage: Eukaryota; Metazoa; Chordata; Actinopteri; Salmoniformes; Salmonidae
Description: lncRNA (ENSSSAG00000092056.1)
Source: RNAcentral